RNAcentral lists this ribosomal RNA (253 nucleotides) under uncultured bacterium. RNAcentral describes it as "partial 16S ribosomal RNA". It matches the Rfam family "Bacterial small subunit ribosomal RNA", at positions 524 to 776 of the family's 1533-position model. The record is from RNAcentral.
UACGUAGGUGGCAAGCGUUGUCCGGAAUUAUUGGGCGUAAAGCGCGCGCAGGCGGUCCUUUAAGUCUGAUGUGAAAGCCCACGGCUCAACCGUGGAGGGUCAUUGGAAACUGGGGGACUUGAGUACAGAAGAGGAAAGCGGAAUUCCACGUGUAGCGGUGAAAUGCGUAGAGAUGUGGAGGAACACCAGAGGCGAAGGCGGCUUUCUGGUCUGUAACUGACGCUGAGGCGCGAAAGCGUGGGGAGCAAACAGG